CUCAUUCAAUAGAAAUCCUUAAUCGAAUUCAAUACCGUUCCUUUACACAAUUUUGUGUUCUCGAAUCCGAAAUAUUAGAUUUUGUUUCUGAUCCAUCCUUAAUGGCCACUGAAGAUCCAGCCGCUGCUGUUGAGGCCAAUACUGAGCCGGCCACCACUGAGCCUGCAGAGGAAACACCGGCCACCAAGACCGCUAAGGCCAAAAAGGCUAAGGAACCCAAAGCCAAAAAAGCUGCUGCACCUAAGAAACGUAGUCCACCAUCCCAUCCUCCAUACGAAGAGAUGAUUAAGGAUGCCAUUGUGACUUUAAAGGAAAAGACUGGUUCAAGUCAGUAUGCGAUUACUAAGUUCAUUGAAGAGAAGCAGAAGCAGCUACCUCCUAACUUCAAGAAGCUGUUGCUAUUCCAUCUGAAGAAGCUUGUAGCUGCUGGUAAGCUUGUGAAGGUGAAAGGAUCAUUCAAGCUCCCACCAGCAAGGUCAUCGGCACCAAAGCCUGCUUCUCCUGCUGCUGCUCCAGCCAAGGCUAAGAAGAAGCCUGCUGCCUCCAAGCCCAAGCCCAAGCCUAAGCCUAAGCCCAAGCCCAAGCCCAAGGCCAAGGCCAAGGCUACUGCCAAGCCAAAGGAAACCAAGUCGACGAAGGCGGCUACCGCUGCUCCAGCUAAGACGAAGGCAGCUGCUAAGCCUAAGGCGAAGCCAAAGCCGAAGGCGGCUGCCAAGCCUAAGGCUGCGCCUGCUAAGUCUAAGCCUGCUGCAAAGCCUAAGGCUGCUCCAGCUAGACCAAAGCCUAAGGAGAGGCCGGCUAAGGUGGCGAGGACAUCGACUAGGACUAAUCCAGGGAAGAAGCCAGCGGCUCCCAAGGCAGCACCGAAAAAGGCUCCUACUUCAAAGAAGACGCCGGCUAAAUCCGUUAAGCCGAAGAGCGUAAAGUCACCGUCAAGGAGGACUUCAGCUAAGAGGACUUCAGCUAGGAAGGGAAGGAAGUGAUCAUAACAUGGAGGCAUACCAUAGGCUUCAGCGUUUGUAGGGUUGUUUUGUAAAUUCGGUGCCGAUGAGGUGUAUUUGAGUCCAUGUGUUCUAGUUGGCCACAAAAAGAAGACAUUGGAUUUUUUUUUAUGAGUUUUUUAAGGGAUUUCAAACAGUGUAAGUUGUAAGAUUAGUUCAACGAAUUUAGGAGAUCAAUUUUACUUAUAAUCUCAUCUCCAUUUUAGUGGGUUUUUUAUUCGUAGCGAAAAUGGUUCAAAAGCGACAGAUGUUACACACUUAACACUGGUAGUUUUUGUAGGUUAAGAGCACCGUAAAUACACAACAUAUCACAUGAGUUUCUAUGGUGUGUGGCCCUAGGUUUGUGAUUUUGGUAAUCUAACACAUGGCAACUGAAUAAUAACAAAUAUGGGUUGUUCUUCGAAGUAAGGUCGAAUGGUGGGCUGGUUUUAGUGCAUGCAUUGAGUGUUGAGCAUUGGGGUUAUAAUUCUGAAGGAGGCAGCGUCCCUUACACGAUAUUGUUUUUAUUUUAUUUUGUGGAGGUGAAGCUUAGCAGCGUUUGCGUGAUUGAAGUUUGAAGGGAGCUGAGGUUUCGAUUUUUUUUCUUCACUCGUCAAAUUUCACAUGGAGUUGUUUACAUUCACUUUGUGGAGAACUCUGGGGUUAUGACAUUGCUUCUAGCGCCGGUUAAUUUUUAAAUUUCAAAGAUGGCACAACAAGAAACAACAAAUGAUCUUCUUGUGGAACCUUCUCAUCCACCUCCAGUUGCUUCAAGUCAAACCGAAGUUGAUGAAGCAACUUCUAAAAUGAAGAGGAAGGGCAUGAAGCCAAGAUCAGCUGUUUGGGAUCACUUUUCAAAGUUUGUUGAUGGUAGUGGCACACAAAAAGGCAAGUGCAAUUACUGCUAUAAAGAAUUUUUCUGUGACCCCAAAAAAAAUGGAACUACUACACUUAGAAAUCACAUGUUUGCAUGCAUAAAGAACCCACAUGUUAUGACUACUAGGCAAUCACAAUUGUAUUUAUAACCAUCUUCUAGUAUACAAGAGGGAGGGGGAAGUCAUUGUGGUACACUAAAUACUUGGAAUUUUAAUCAAGAGAGGUCAAGGCGGAACCUAGCUAAAAUGAUAAUUGUUGAUGAGCUCCCAUUUAUGUUUGUGGAAGGGGAAGGGUUUAAGGAAUUUAUGGAAGUUACGCAACCUAAGUUUCGAAUUCCAUCCCGUUGGACAGUUUCAAGGGAUUGUUAUGACUUGUACAUGGAAGAGAGAAAAAAAUUGAAGAAUUACUUUCAAAAUUCUAAUCAAAGGGUUUGCAUUACCACAGAUACAUGGACUUCAUUGCAAAGAAUCAAUUAUAUGUGUAUCACUGUAAAUUAUGUUGAUGAUAAUUGGACAUUGCAUAAAAAAAUUCUUAAUUUUUGUCCAAUUACUAGUCACAAGGGUGAUGAUAUUGGCAUGGCAGUUGAGAGUUGUUUGCUAAAUUGGGGAAUUAAGAGAGUGUUUACAGUAACUGUUGAUAAUGCAAGUUCAAAUGAUUUUGCUAUUGCCUAUUUGAAAAAGAAAAUAGCUGGUUGGGGGUUUAGCAUUUUAAAUUGCAAGUACCUUCACAUGAGAUGCAUUGCACACAUAAUUAACUUGGUUGUUGUUGAUGGAUUGAAGGAAACUAAUGUUUCAGUGAAAAGGGUUAGGGAAGCAGUGAGAUAUAUUAGGCAAUCUCCUGCUAGGUUGCAAAAGUUUAAAUCAUGUUGUGAGAUGGAGGGGAUUGAAAGUAAAAGUUCUUUAUGCUUAGACGUGUGCACUAGGUGGAAUUCUACUUAUUUGAUGUUAAAUGUUGCACAAAAGUUUGAAAAUGCAUUUGAUAGAUAUGCUACUAUAGAUCCAUGCUUUAAAUUUGAUCUUCAGUCAAGUGAUGGUUUGCCAGAUAGUUUGGAUUGGGAAAAUGUUAGGAGACUUGUAGAUUUUUUGGGCCACUUUUAUGAUCUUACCUUGAGAAUAUCAGGAUCUCGAUAUGUCACUUCUAAUAUAUUUUUUAAUGAGAUCAGUUCAGUUGAUUGUUUAUUGCAAGAGUGGCAAGGGAGUAAUGACGUAGAAUUGGCAUGUAUGGGUGAAAGGAUGAAGGUAAAAUUUGAUAAAUAUUGGGGGAUCCUGAUAAGAUGAAUAAAAUAGUUUAUAUUGCAGUGGUGGUUGAUCCUCGAUAUAAGUUGGAAUUUAUGGAAUUUGCUCUUUCAACUGUGUAUGAGAAAGAAAAGGGUAUGGAAUUGGCAAAGAAAAUUAAAUUGACUGUAUAUGAGUUGUUUGAUGAAUACAAGAAAACAUAUCAAGCUGAACAUGAUCGUGGUAGCAGUGUAGCUGGGAAUACAAGUGAAAACAAUGAAAGUGAAGGAGCAAAAAAGAAAUCACGGUUGAAUUUGGGGGAUCAAUUCUUGAAACAUAAAAUAGAGACUGGAGAAGCUAAUAGCAAGUCUGACUUAGAUUGCUAUUUGAAUGAGGGCAUUAAGUGGUGGAUGAAAAAGAAGAAUUUGAUAUAUUAAAGUAGUGGCAACUUAAUUCUGGUAGGUUUCCCAUCCUUUCAAUCAUGGUAAGAGAUAUAUUAGCAAUGCCUAUAUUUACAGUUGCUUCGGAAUCAGCCUUUAGUACUGGAGGUAGAGUACUUGAUCCUUUUAGAAGUUCUUUAACUCCUAAAAUUGUUGAAGCAUUAUUAUGUGCACAAGAUUGAUUGCGGAAGUCCCAUUGCUGCAAAUCUAUUGAAGAGCAAAUUGCUGACCUUGAAAGGCUUGAAGAGGCAUUUUCACUUUGUGAAAUAAAUAGCAUCAAUGAUAACACUGUGAACCGGGAUACUUGAUAUUACAGGUAAAUAUGGCUAUAAUUGUUUAUUUUGUUUAUUUUUUUAAAUUUCUUUUACCAAUUCUAAUCCUUUUCAUGUUUGCAUAUCCAUCAAUUGGUAUUUGAAGCAUUCAGGCUUGCUAGUUGGAGACAAAGUGAUGGAACUAUUGUAAUAUUUUAAUUUGUAAUUGUAUGAUUUUUUUAUGUUGGACACUUGCUUAUUUGCUUUCAUGUUUGAUGUAUUUUAUGGAGUUUGUUUAAUGUGGACUGUAUAAGAACUUUUAUUUUAUUGGUUUGGAUGGCUUUCAUUUUAUGUAUUUAGAUUGUCAAGGACUUAUCCAUUUGCUUUAUGAUGAAUUUUUUUUUAAUUAUUUUAUUUUUAUAGAGAUUUUGAGUACUAUAUGUUUAAUUUUAUUGAUUAAUGUGAAAUUAAGUCCAAAAAUAGGGUAAAAAUCAGAUAAAAAAAAAGCAAAAAUCAGGUUUAAAUAAAGUGAAACCAAGUCCAAAACAGAAUCCCAUUUAAAGCCCAAACCGAUCGAACCGAACAGAAAUAUUUCGGUUCGGUUCUAUUUCAGUUUCUUGUAUAUUUCGAUUCGGUUCGGUUCAUAAUAUUAUGUAAUUCGGUCUAUUCGGUUUUGUCGUUCGGUUCGGUUCGGUUCGAAUCGAAUACUCAGCCCUAGAAUGUGCACUCUCAUUUAGUAUUGAUUUACAAUUUUAUAGAUUUUGGAUGAAUUUAUAAUUUUAUGGAUUUUUGUAUGGAUCUUGACGUAUUAUUUAUAUUUAUUUCUUAGGAGUAAACUGAUUUUUAUGUAAUUUUGUAAAGAUUUUGGUUUACGGCAAUCGAACUGAGCCGAACUUUCUAUUUUCUGUUUGGUUUGGUUUGUUUAUUCUUUGAAGGUCGGUUGUUUGGUCUAUUCUACUAUUGAACGCUAGAAAUAAUUUUUGUAAAUCUUUAAUUUGGUUUGUCUUGAACACUAAUAAUUAUUGAUGUUCCUGGACAGACCCCUAUAUCUUCCAUACAUAGAAGUCGUUAAUAGUUUGAUGGAGCAAAAUAUAUAAUUAGAUGAUUUGAUAGUUUGAGCUUAUGAUUUGUGGCCCUAUAUAUUGAAGAUACUUGUUUAGUCAUUAGAUGCUUAUUUUCAAAUCGGAUGUUUGGUUUAUAAAUGGGAAGGAUCCAUUUGCGCUUUAAGGCUUCUGAUCGUUAUUUUUUUUGUUUCCCAACCUAAAAGUUGUUGAAUUUGGGAAAAUAAUUGUUUUGCAUAUGCAUAAAACAUGCAUCCACCCAUAUUUCAUAUAAUGUUUUUACUACAUAUUUUUAAAAUCUACCUUUCUUAAUUGUUGGGAUCUUUUGAUAUUUUGAAAUGAAUAUGGACAAUGAGUUCUUGUUUCAUCGAGUUGGGGCUUCUUCAAUGUGUUAGAUUACUUUUUUUAGUUUAAUAUCUAACUAGUGAAUUAUUUAUUUCAUUGGAAAAUAACAGUUUGAAAUUAAAAUUAAUUUAAAUUGAAUUGCUAUAACAGGUUUUUUUUAAUUUUCCUCAGGUGAUGACUACUCAAAGGAAGAA
Molecule: unclassified non-coding RNA, 5361 nt
Filed under: Hevea brasiliensis (rubber tree)
Lineage: Eukaryota; Viridiplantae; Streptophyta; Magnoliopsida; Malpighiales; Euphorbiaceae
Source: RNAcentral